AAUAGAUACCCCGGUAGUCCACGCCGUAAACGAUGAGUGCUAAGUGUUAGGGGGUUUCCGCCCCUUAGUGCUGCAGCUAACGCAUUAAGCACUCCGCCUGGGGAGUACGGUCGCAAGACUGAAACUCAAAGGAAUUGACGGGGGCCCGCACAAGCGGUGGAGCAUGUGGUUUAAUUCGAAGCAACGCGAAGAACCUUACCAGGUCUUGACAUCCCAUUGACCACUAUGGAGACAUAGUUUUCCCUUCGGGGACAACGGUGACAGGUGGUGCAUGGUUGUCGUCAGCUCGUGUCGUGAGAUGUUGGGUUAAGUCCCGCAACGAGCGCAACCCUUGUUCUUAGUUGCCAUCAUUUAGUUGGGCACUCUAAGGAGACUGCCGGUGACAAACCGGAGGAAGGUGGGGAUGACGUCAAAUCAUCAUGCCCCUUAUGACCUGGGCUACACACGUGCUACAAUGGACGGUACAAACGGUUGCCAACCCGCGAGGGGGAGCUAAUCCGAUAAAACCGUUCUCAGUUCGGAUUGUAGGCUGCAACUCGCCUACAUGAAGGCC
RNAcentral lists this ribosomal RNA (553 nucleotides) under uncultured bacterium. RNAcentral describes it as "bacterial SSU rRNA". It matches the Rfam family "Bacterial small subunit ribosomal RNA", at positions 777 to 1328 of the family's 1533-position model. The record is from RNAcentral.